UGGGGAAUAUUGCACAAUGGGCGCAAGCCUGAUGCAGCAACGCCGCGUGAACGAUGAAGGUCUUCGGAUCGUAAAGUUCUGUUGCAGGGGAAGAUAAUGACGGUACCCUGUGAGGAAGCCCCGGCUAACUACGUGCCAGCAGCCGCGGUAAUACGUAGGGGGCUAGCGUUAUCCGGAUUUACUGGGCGUAAAGGGUGCGUAGGUGGUCUUUCAAGUCGGUGGUUAAAGGAUACGGCUCAACCAUAGUUAGCCUCCGAAACUGGAAGACUUGAGUGCAGGAGAGGAAAGGGGAAUUCCUAGUGUAGCGGUGAAAUGCGUAGAUAUUGGGGGGAACACCAGUAGCGAAGGCGGCUUUCUGGACUGCAACUGACACUGAGGCACGAAAGCGGGGGUAGCAAACAGG
RNAcentral lists this ribosomal RNA (403 nucleotides) under Verrucomicrobiota bacterium. RNAcentral's name for it is "Verrucomicrobia bacterium partial 16S ribosomal RNA". It matches the Rfam family "Bacterial small subunit ribosomal RNA", at positions 355 to 776 of the family's 1533-position model. The record is from RNAcentral. Lineage: Bacteria; Pseudomonadati; Verrucomicrobiota.